Molecule: RNA transcript, 4197 nt
Organism: Onychostoma macrolepis
Lineage: Eukaryota; Metazoa; Chordata; Actinopteri; Cypriniformes; Cyprinidae
Gene: rnpc3
Gene name: RNA-binding region (RNP1, RRM) containing 3
Exons: 17
Source: RefSeq, a predicted model, not a curated record
AUUCAACCAAUCAGGUAUCAGAUUUCCUUGACCUCAUUAGACACGCCCACAAACUUUGUGAGGAAGAGCGUGAAUUUGAACCGGAAUCAUGGCAGAGGCAGACGAGGCCGACGUUCAAACAAAGAAAAGCAAAACCCUCAUUGUACGACAUCUGCCCAGAGAACUCAACAGAGAUGACAAGGAGGAUCUCCUGAAAUAUUUUGGUGCUUCAUCUGUCAAAGUGCUGUCAGAGAAGGGACCCCUAAAACAUAUGGCAUUUGCAACUUUCAGGAGUGAGACCUCAGCCUCUAAGGCACUGAACAGACUUCAUCAGCUGAGAAUCCUUGGUCACACACUAGUGGUUGAGUUCGCGAAAGAUCAAGACCAUGUCAUUGUUUUGAAAGACCCACCAGUGUCUAAGAGUGGUGCUGGUGCCCAGUCUGAGAAGGGGAAGAAAGAAAAACAACAAAGCAACGUUCCUCUGGUGGACAACAGCAUUGCUCCCAAUCUGGGGUUGAAAUUUCAAACAAAUCCAACGCUGAAAUAUUUAUACCCUCCUCCUUCAAGUGGAAUUUUGACAAACAUUACACACACUCUUCUGAGCGUGCCCAAGUUCUACGUUCAAGUUCUUCACUUGAUGAAUAAGAUGAACCUUCCAUGCCCGUUUGGACCAGUGACAGCUCCUCCGCCAAUGUUUGAGAUGCCUCCAGGCCCAUUGCCGCCCAUGCCCCCACCCUUCCCCCCAGAGAACCCUCCUCUACCGGAACACGAGGAGGGGGCGUCGGGCAGUGAAGAAGAAUCUGAGUACGAAAGUGGAGAUGAGGAGGACAAGGAGAGGAUGAUCAGAUUGAUGGGCCUUGUUAACCAGCCAUGCAAAAGACCGUUGAGAACAAAGACUUCUUCUAAGAGAAAGAAACCCAAACUAAAAGACCUCCUGUUUAUUCCCAAACCAGAUUCCCACGGCCCCUCAGGCCCAGCUCUGCAGCCAUCAGACGUGUUCGAGCAACCUCAGACGCUUGGACAGAAAAAGAUUGAGUUCCAUAUAUCGGCUGAGGUGUCCACCAUCCUUGAGGGUCCCAGACAGAAUCAGGAACCGCAAUUUGCAGAUGCGAACGAAGACACGGCAGAGGUUUCCGUUCAGGACGCUGCAGAAGGGUUUGGGAAAAUCUACCCAAGCGCUCCGGUCCCCAGACACGAGGAAGAGAGGGAGGAAGAUGAGGACAUCCCCUCAGAGUUCAUCUCUCGGAGAGAGCUAGAGAGAGGGAGACUCUCCAGAGACGAGAUGAAGAAAAUGUCUGUGUUUAAAAAUUACGAACCUGGAGAGCCAACCUGCAGACUUUAUGUUAAGAAUGUUGCGAAGCAAGUUGAAGAAAAAGAUCUGAAGUUCAUCUACGGCCGGUAUAUCGACAUCUCCUCAGAGGAGGAGAGAAACAUGUUUGAUAUUGUUUUGAUGAAAGAGGGGAGGAUGAAAGGUCAGGCCUUCGUCGGGCUCCCCAGCGAGAGAAGCGCAGAGAAGGCCUUAAAGGAAACCAAUGGAUUUGUUCUCAACGACAAACCUCUUGUGGUGCAAUUCGCCCGAUCUGCAAAACCUAAACAGGAAUCUGCAGACCCAAAGAAAGGAGGGAAAAAACACUGAACCGAUGAUGUUGAUGUACAAUCAUGAGCCUACAGGAGCUCCAUCUUUACUUCAUAUCCUUUAAAAUAUCCUUUAAAAGAGUCAUUUGAAUUGCUUGCUUUGAUGAUAAAUUAUAGGCAAUAACUGAAUUCUUCCAAAUGUCAAGCAAUAUUUUUUAUGUUUAUUAACAUAAUGUGUAUAUAUAUAUACAGUCAUGGCCAAAAAUAUCGGCACCCUUAGUAAACAUGAUAAAAGAAAGCUGUGAAAAUUAAUCUGCAUUGUUAAUCCUUUUGAUCUUUUAUUUAAAAAAUUCACAAAAAUGUAACCUUUCAUUGGAUAAUAAUAAUUUAAAAUGGGGGGAAAUAUAAUUAUGAAAUAAAUGUUUUUCUCAAAUACACGUUGGCCACAAUUAUUGGCACCCCUAGUAAUUCUUAUGUGUAAAAUAUCUUUGAAGUGUAUUUCCUUUCAUAUUCACAAUUUUGAGCACUCCAGGGUGAUUAUGAACAUGAAAUUAUCCAGCCAUGGCUUCCUGUUUCACAGAAAUAUAAAUAGGAGGGAAAACAAAGCCCAAAUUCCCUUAAUCAUCCAUCACAAUGAGAAAAACCAAAGAAUAUAUUUCUGAUGUGCAGCAAAGGAUAAUUGAGCUUCACAAAUUAGUGAAGUGGCUUUAAGAAAAGAGCUAGAGCAGUGAAAAUUCCCAUUUCUACCAUCAGGGCAAUAAUUAAGAAUUUCCAAUCAACUUAAAAUGUUGCAAACUGCCUGGAAGAGGACGUGUGUCUAUAUCGUCCUAAUGCACGGUGAGAAGGAGAGUUUGAGUGGCUAAAGACUCUCCAAGGACCACAGCUGGAGAAUUGCAGAAAAUAGUUGAGUCUCGGGAUCAGAACCUAAAAUAAAUUGUCAAACAGCACCUACAUCACCACAUGUUGUUUGGGAGGGUUUCAAGAAAAAUUCUCCUCGCUCAUCCAAAAACAAACUCCAGCAUAUUCAGUUAUCAGACACAACAGGAACUUCAAAUGGGACUGGCUUCUAUGGUCCGAUGAAACUAAAAAAAUGAGCUUUUUAGCAGCAAACACUCAAGAUGGGUUUGGUGAACACAGGGAUAAAAAGUACCCCAUGUGUACAAUAAAAAAUAUACUGCUGUAUUUUUGAUGUUGUGGGCCUAUAUUUCUGCUGGAGGUCCUGGACAUGGCAUCACCGAUUCUAUCAAAUACCAACAGAUAAAAAAAUCAAUAAGUGACUGACUCUGUUAGAAAUCUUAUAAUGGGCCAUGUUUGGAUCUUCCAACCGUACAAUAAUCCAAACACAAAUCUCAAAAACAACACAAAAAUGGGUCACUGAGCACAAACCUAAGCUUCUGAUAUGGCCAUUCCAGUCCUCUGACCUGAACCCUGCAGAAAAUGAGUGGUGAACUGAAGAGAAGAACCAACAUGGAGCUGGGAAUCUAAAGGGUGUGGAGUGAUUCUGGAUGAAGGAAUGGUCUCUGAUCUCUUGUCAGGUGUUCUCUAACCUCAUCAGGCAUUAUAUGAGAAAAUUUAGAGCUGUUAAACUGGUAAAUGGAGGUUUCAAAAAGUAUUGAACAAAAGGGUGCCGUUAAUUGUGGCCAAUGUGUAUUAGAGAAAAAAAAUUUUUUUUCAUAAUGAUAUUUCCCCCCAUUUUAAAUUCUUAUUCAAUGAAAGGUUAGAUUUUUGUGAUUUAAAAAAAAAAAAAAGAUCAAAAGGAUUAACAAUGCAGAUUCAUUUUCACAGCCUUCUUUGAUCAUAUUUACCAAGGGUGCUGAUAUUUUUGGCCAUGACUGUAUAUAUAUAUAUUACACAUAAAGCUUGUUAUUAAUAUUUUUUCCCUCCAAUUUUGUUGCAGAGUGCUGCUGUUGAGUUCAUUUGGACUGAAGUUCAUCAUCGAUUGAUGUUGCCAAAGGUCGGAUCCUGAUGUUUAAUGGUACCAGUAUUGUUCUGCACGCACAACAUGUGCCUUUGAUGUGAAGGAGAAUAAAUUUAGAAGUCGCUAUCAGUCAGCCGGCUCAUCUUCCAGCAGCACAGCAACAGAUGGUACUGUCAGUACAGCAGAGCUCAGACAAACAAACAAUAUACAAGAAAGACUGUGACCAGGGCUGGCCCGACUCGAAGAUUAGCUGUUAUUUGUUCGCUGUACUUUAGUCUGAGAUCUAAGACUCUCAAGACGCAUUGUGCCAGGUUUGAUUUCAGGGAUGCCAAAUGCUUUUGCUUUUCAUGAUCAAUCAUAAUGCUCAAUCAUGAUCUGUCUUGACAUUGUAUAUUAAGCAUGAAUGAGAUUUUACUAUGCUUUGCAACAUUUUGGUCACACAAAGAAACCAUUACUGUCCAAUUUUUUGUAAGUGCGAGAUCAACUGAUUAAGGGUUCAACAUAAACCACACAGGUCAAAAUAUACAUUAAACAGUAAUAUUGCGAAAUAUUACAAUUUAGAAUUUUAAUUUAAAAUCUAAUUUAUUAUUUGAUUCGUUGAUGAAUAGAAAGUUCAAAAGAAUCUUUAACAUUUAUAUGAAAUAGAAAUCUUUUGUGACAUUAUAAAUGUCUUCACAUCAAUUUAUUGCUUCCGUGUUGAAUAAAAGCAUGAAUUAUUUUUUACA